This is a long non-coding RNA of Musca vetustissima, 269 nucleotides long. RefSeq lists it as uncharacterized. NCBI's taxonomy places the organism in Eukaryota, Metazoa, Arthropoda, Insecta, Diptera, Muscidae. The transcript has 3 exons. The record is from RefSeq and is a predicted model, not a curated record.
CAACGAAAAUUCCCCACAAAAUCCAAACGCAGCAAGAAAAAAUCAUGCAAAAUUCAGAUGAUGCAAAGUUUAUAAAAAAACGUUGGAAAGGUGGCAGCAUUGAACCCCAUCCAACGGACAAAGCUUUGAUUGUUAAUUAUCAGCUGGAGGCCACAGUCUUUGGUGAUCCCAAUAAUCCAAUGCUGGAAGAGAAGAAGCACAAGAGUUCUUAUAUAAUGAAAGAUAAAAAUUCAUUGAGAAUUCCCUCACGGUCACCAACACCAGUUAAG